CCCUCCUCCUCGAGUGUCUUCUCUCACACUCAUUUCAAUGCAUCCACGGUGGUCGGUGGAGGAAACCACCACUCUUUCUCUUCCUCCUCAUUUGACCACCGUCCAUCUCUCCGCCUGUUAUCAUCUCAAACGACGGAGGUUCUGCCUCGUUGCCACCCCUCCAGCUCCUGUGCCAACCAUUUAAGGCCCAGGCCAUUGUUGAAGUGCAAUGCUUGUAACUGGUUUUGUUGUCAAGAAAGCUUGUGAAUUCAGUUUCGAGGAAGCAUAUCAAGCAGGGCAAGGCCAACUCUUGGUUGUGGAGGUGUUCUGAGGGACAAUUCAGGGGAUUGGGCUACUGAGUUUUGCCACAACCUUGGUACUGUGAAUUCCCUUGUUGAGCUAUGGGGCAUUCACAUGACGGUUGAGAUAGUGUUGACACAUGAUUUUCACGGUUCAGAGGUCACAAUUUUCAGUCUAUCUUGUUCUUGUCAGAGUGUGCUCCAUCUCAUCCCAACAGUGAUGAUCCUGUUCUGUCAGAGUAGCUCUAUCUUUAUGGGGGUAUUAGCUUUAAGUUUGUUCCCAGAGAAUUCAAUGUAACGGCGGAUUUAGCCCGUGCGUCUCAUGACUUUUCUUUUGGGCUCCAUUUGUUGGCAGCACUGUUUGGGGAAUGUAGUAGAGGUUUCAUGUGGAAAGCUAGGGAGGCGGUGUCCUCAGGGUCUGGUGGUGUUGUUUAGUUUUGUUUUGGGGUCUUGCCCUCCAUGUCAACAGAAAAAGAUGCUAUUCCAAAACCCUAAAAUAGUAUUCACUAUGUUCUCAAUUCUUCCCAUAUUUUUUGUCAAGUAUCAUUGCAGUUCAAUUUUUUGUUAUCAAAACCGGUUGCAAUUCAUAAUUGAAAAAUUAUCAAACCCAUCAACUCGGGGGCUAUCUGGACCCAAUACAAUCAGUUAUUAUACCCAAGCCACACAAAACAAUGAAAUAGCUCACGGACCUAAAUAAGGGAAGUCCCAUUGUGGUAAAAGACAAGAAGUACCGUUGUUAUUUUUUUCUUUUAUUGGCAUUCACUCUGUAAUCUGAAUGUGAAC
Lotus japonicus is the source of this 1061-nucleotide long non-coding RNA. RefSeq lists it as uncharacterized. The record is from RefSeq and is a predicted model, not a curated record. The transcript has 4 exons. Lineage: Eukaryota; Viridiplantae; Streptophyta; Magnoliopsida; Fabales; Fabaceae.